This 253-nucleotide ribosomal RNA is filed under the name uncultured bacterium. RNAcentral's name for it is "partial 16S ribosomal RNA". It matches the Rfam family "Bacterial small subunit ribosomal RNA", at positions 524 to 776 of the family's 1533-position model. The record is from RNAcentral.
UACGUAGGGGGCUAGCGUUGUCCGGAAUCAUUGGGCGUAAAGAGCGUGUAGGCGGCCUGGUAAGUCCGCUGUAAAAGUCAAAGGCCCAACCUUUGAAUGUCAGUGGAUACUGCCGGGCUAGAGUCCGGAAGAGGCGAGUGGAACUCCUGGUGUAGCGGUGGAAUGCGCAGAUAUCAGGAAGAACACCAACGGCGAAGGCAGCUCGCUAGGACGGUACUGACGCUGAGACGCGAAAGCGUGGGGAGCGAACAGG